UGGGGAAUAUUGGACAAUGGGCGCAAGCCUGAUCCAGCCAUGCCGCGUGGGUGAAGAAGGCCUUCGGUUGUAAAGCCCUUUGUCCGGAAGAAAAGCACUGGAUUAAUACUUCGGUGUUCUGACGGUACCGGAAGAAUAAGCACCGGCUAACUUCGUGCC
This 159-nucleotide ribosomal RNA is filed under the name uncultured bacterium. RNAcentral's name for it is "partial 16S ribosomal RNA". It matches the Rfam family "Bacterial small subunit ribosomal RNA", at positions 355 to 509 of the family's 1533-position model. The record is from RNAcentral.